Molecule: ribosomal RNA, 387 nt
Filed under: uncultured bacterium
Lineage: Bacteria
Description: bacterial SSU rRNA
Rfam family: Bacterial small subunit ribosomal RNA
Source: RNAcentral
AUUGAACGCUGGCGGCGUGCCUAACACAUGCAAGUCGAGCGGUAACAGGUGUAGCAAUACAUGCUGACGAGCGGCGGACGGGUGAGUAACGCUUGGGAAUCUGCCUAUUAGUGGGGGACAACCCGGGGAAACUCGGGCUAAUACCGCAUACGCUCUACGGAGGAAAGCCGGGGACCGCAAGGCCUGGCGCUAAUAGAUGAGCCCAAGUCGGAUUAGCUAGUUGGUAGGGUAAUGGCCUACCAAGGCGACGAUCCGUAACUGGUCUGAGAGGACGACCAGUCACACCGGAACUGAGACACGGUCCGGACUCCUACGGGAGGCAGCAGUGGGGAAUAUUGGACAAGUGGGCGAAAGCCUGAUCCAGCGACGCCGCGUGGGUGAAGAAGG